UGGAAGAGGCAACAUGAGUCCCCGCU
RNAcentral lists this non-coding RNA (26 nucleotides) under Homo sapiens (human). Lineage: Eukaryota; Metazoa; Chordata; Mammalia; Primates; Hominidae. The record is from RNAcentral.